RNAcentral lists this ribosomal RNA (739 nucleotides) under uncultured fungus. RNAcentral describes it as "eukaryotic LSU rRNA". The stretch from base 291 to 445 matches the Rfam family "5.8S ribosomal RNA". The record is from RNAcentral. Lineage: Eukaryota; Fungi.
AAGUCGUAACAAGGUUUCCGUAGGUGAACCUGCGGAAGGAUCAUUAACAAAACAAGUGGUGUGGAGCUGGAGAUGCAAGUCUCUGGCACCAGCCAACAACCUUUGUGAAUUGGGCGCGUUGCGGCUUCUGCAUGCAGCACGCUUAGAAGGGGCGUGGGAGAUUGAUGUGAUGAUGAGGUGAUAUUCAUUGGUUGCUGAAAAGUAAAGGUGGGCUUCACUCACACCACAUCGCAUCAUUUUAUUGUAGUCUGAUACUGUUGUUGUCGAAAGACGACUAUGCAAACUAAUACAACUUUUAACAAUGGAUCUCUUGGCUCUUGCACCGAUGAAGAACGCAGUGAAUUGCGAUAAGUAAUGUGACUUGCAAUCAUUUGUGAAUCAUCGAAUCUUUGAACGCACGUUGCACUUUGGGAGUCAAUCCCAAAGUAUACCUGUUUGAGUAUCAUAAACAUUUGUCCAAGCAAUUGGGAUUUGAGACCCGCUGUCUGUGGAUGGCGCUUCUUUAAAUGUAUUACGGGGCUGGCACUUGCUGCAUGCUGCUCGAGUGAGGAAGUUUGCAUCCGUGCAAAAUAUUCAUGAGAGGAGUGUGUGCCGAAGCGGAAGCGAGAGCGGAAGCAGAAGCGAAAAAGCAAGGUGCAUUGUUGCACCGAAACAUGGCCAUGAUGUCGUCGCUAACACGCUCAUCAUGCAGUCGCACAAAUGUGAUCUCAAAUCAGGCAAGACUACCCGCCGAACUUAA